RNAcentral lists this ribosomal RNA (470 nucleotides) under uncultured bacterium. RNAcentral's name for it is "bacterial SSU rRNA". It matches the Rfam family "Bacterial small subunit ribosomal RNA", at positions 28 to 508 of the family's 1533-position model. The record is from RNAcentral.
GAUGAACGCUAGCUACAGGCUUAACACAUGCAAGUCGAGGGGCAGCAUGAACUUAGCUUGCUAAGUUUGAUGGCGACCGGCGCACGGGUGAGUAACACGUAUCCAACCUUCCGUUUACUCAGGGAUAGCCUUUCGAAAGAAAGAUUAAUACCUGAUAGUAUGGUGAGAUUGCAUGAUAGCACCAUUAAAGAUUUAUUGGUAAACGAUGGGGAUGCGUUCCAUUAGGUAGUAGGCGGGGUAACGGCCCACCUAGCCGACGAUGGAUAGGGGUUCUGAGAGGAAGGUCCCCCACAUUGGAACUGAGACACGGUCCAAACUCCUACGGGAGGCAGCAGUGAGGAAUAUUGCACAAUGGGCGCAAGCCUGAUGCAGCGACGCCGCGUGAAGGAUGAAGUAUUUCGGUAUGUAAACUUCUAUCAGCAGGGAAGAAAUGACGGUACCUGACUAAGAAGCCCCGGCUAACUACGUAG